AUUGAACGCUGGCGGCAGGCCUAACACAUGCAAGUCGAACGAGUGGCGGACGGGUGAGUAAUGUCUGGGAAACUGCCUGAUGGAGGGGGAUAACUACUGGAAACGGUAGCUAAUACCGCAUACAAUCAGUUGGGCCCAGAGGGGAUUAGCUAGUUGGGGGGGUAACGGUCCACCAAGGCGACGAUCCCUAGCUGGUCUGCGAGGAUGACCAGCCACACUGGAACUGAGACACGGUCCAGACUCCUACGGGAGGCAGCAGGGGGGAAUAUGGCACAAUGGGCGCAAGCCUGAUGCAGCCAUGCCGCGUGUAUGAAGAAGGCCUUCGGGUUGUAAAGUACUUUCAGCGGGGAGGCGUUACCCGCAGAAGAAGCACCGGCUAACUCCGUGCCAGCAGCCGCGGUAAUAC
This 406-nucleotide ribosomal RNA is filed under the name uncultured bacterium. RNAcentral's name for it is "partial 16S ribosomal RNA". It matches the Rfam family "Bacterial small subunit ribosomal RNA", at positions 29 to 526 of the family's 1533-position model. The record is from RNAcentral.